This 27-nucleotide small RNA is filed under the name Bombyx mori (domestic silkworm). Its description in RNAcentral is "ovarian small RNA-17909". Lineage: Eukaryota; Metazoa; Arthropoda; Insecta; Lepidoptera; Bombycidae. The record is from RNAcentral.
GUGGCAGUCACUUGUCGCGGUGCUCGG